Neopelma chrysocephalum (saffron-crested tyrant-manakin) is the source of this 1664-nucleotide long non-coding RNA. RefSeq lists it as uncharacterized. Lineage: Eukaryota; Metazoa; Chordata; Aves; Passeriformes; Pipridae. The record is from RefSeq and is a predicted model, not a curated record. The transcript has 6 exons.
AGUCUAUGACAGCAGGGAAGACUACAGAGUGUCUUUCAGGAUGUAAAAGCUGUCAUUUGUGCAUCCAAGGAAGGACUGUGCUAUGAAGGUACAGAAGAAGGACUUGCUAAUGCUGGGUGCCUCCCUGUGCUCUGCAAUGAGAUGCAGCAAAAUCCAGUCCUCAAGCCUCCUUCCUAAGAUCAGCAGAAAUCAUCAAUAGAAUUGUUUACUUCUACAAAAAUCCUAAAAAAGCUGUACAGACCACAACAACAAUGAACCUGGCUGCUGUUGGGAUGUGUGCACUGUGCCACGAUCCAUGUAGGGGCUCAUCCAGGACUGUGAUAGGGUUGCCAGCAUCAACAGGGAGAUCCCAAAGGAAUGGGUACCUCCUUGGUGCAAAACGAUGCUGGGAGAUCCUUCUAUUUUCAUAAUCGCUUUGGUUUCAUUAAAAUCCACUGGACAGGACUCCUGCAGCAGCAUUGCCACAGCUCAGGGAAAGGAUGUGGCUUCAUCAUGAGGAUUGCAACACAAAAUGUAAAUUCAAUUAGCACUAGGCUCAUGGAUUUGGGCUGGCAUCUUUGCUACAGCAGAAUUCACCAAUAUCUCUGAUGUUACAAGAAUAUAACAAAAACACUGAGAACCACUGAGGUGGAGGUGGAGCAGCAUUUAUCUCUAAAAAAAAAAAAUUUUCAAGGUAGUGAGUUGCUCUGUUCCAAAUAACCUGUGCUCUUUGGGUAAAACCAAUAUAGUAAUAUUCUCAUAUGACUUCAAAGCCUUCCUGAUUUUGAGACCCCAAAGCAGCACAGGCAUUUUAUAUGUCAAAUACCCACUAUGGCAACUGUGAAACUCAAUGCCACUUUGAUAUACAGCUGCUCUUGCCUUAGGGCUCAAGGCAGGAUAGCUUUACUAUAAAGGUGCCAGAUCCAGAAUCACAACUAACAUCUUGCACUUCCCACACCAGUGGUCCCUCGAGGCUUGAGGAAGAAACUGGGCUGUGAAUAACAAGGUAUCUGAACAGUUGGUGACUCACUAAAAGUCCAUGGUCUGAGAUAUUGAAAGUCUGCCAACAAUUUUAUCGUAGUUGUCAGUGAGAGGAAAGAUAAGAACAAAACCACAAAAUGUUGUUGAUUUUUAAAGGUCAGCAUACUUAUGGUUCAAAGUCACUGUGGAAGGAAUCUUCUGGUUUUUCACAGAGAUUUCACUGAGAAAGAGAUAACUAAAAAAAUGUGGAUUACCUGCUCUUAAUAUACCUAUAAAUUAGUGUUCUGAAUACAGGUAAACCUAGUCUAUCAGUGGUCCAAAUUUAACUACAUAUUCUUCUUUGUGUUUCCAAUGUUGAAUUAUCUUGAACUUCUAAACAUUUCUCAUCAAAGGAAUGCCAAAUUUAUGGAAAUAUUUGCUUGUGCAUUUUAUUGUCUCUCAUCCCAAAGGUGGUGUAAGGUAAGUUUGUGCAAUGGGAUUACCAGGAAGCAACCAAUGAACCACAUGUGCUUGUAGUUCAUCAUCUGUAUUGAGGAAGGUGGGAGAGCUCCAGGAGUUAACAGUUGUGUCUGAAAAUUGUGCUUUCUUUUUAUUGUAGUCUUACUCAUCUUUACCAAAUUGACAAAAUUGCAUUCAACUGGUUAAAAAAUACUGGUAAUUGUUUAGAUUAAUGCAUCUAAUAUCCCUGUGGGUUUCAUUUUACA